Molecule: small nuclear RNA, 107 nt
Filed under: Castor canadensis (American beaver)
Lineage: Eukaryota; Metazoa; Chordata; Mammalia; Rodentia; Castoridae
Source: RNAcentral
GCACACACCUUGGCAGUACAUCUACUAAAAUUGGAAUGCUACAGAGAAUAUUAGUAUGGCCUCUGUGCAAGGAUGACAAGCAUAUUCAUAAGGUGCUCCAUAUUUUU